UGCCAGCCGCCGCGGUAACACCUGCGCCACGAGUGGCAAUCACGUUUAUUGGGCCUAAAGCGUUCGUAGCCGGAUCGAUCAGUCUUGAGUGAAAUCGUUGCGCUUAACAAAACGGCGUGCUUGAGAUACUGUUGGUCUAGAGACCGGGAGGCGUUAGAGGUAUUCGAGGGGGAGCGGUAAAAUGUUGUAAUCCUUCGAGGACCACCUGUGGCGAAGGCGUCUAACGAGAACGGGUCUGACGGUGAGGAACGAAAGCUAGGGGAGCAAACCGGAUUAGAUA
Molecule: ribosomal RNA, 280 nt
Filed under: uncultured bacterium
Lineage: Bacteria
Description: partial 16S ribosomal RNA
Rfam family: Archaeal small subunit ribosomal RNA
Source: RNAcentral